Molecule: long non-coding RNA, 4347 nt
Filed under: Aquilegia coerulea
Lineage: Eukaryota; Viridiplantae; Streptophyta; Magnoliopsida; Ranunculales; Ranunculaceae
Description: long non-coding RNA (ACOE_LNC001755)
Source: RNAcentral
AAAAAAAAAAAAAAAUGGCUGGGGAUAAAGUGAGUCAUUGACCACUAACAAGAGUUGUAACAGGAAGAUAAGAAUGCUCAAUAACACAAACAACAAGAUGAACAUUAACCAAAACAAAGGAGAGAGAUAGCUCAAGAUAACAUAAAUACUCGAGAGAUAGAGAAGUUCUAUGAGAUCAAAGAAUAUGUAAGUGGUUUCCAAAAACUCCCAUCAUGCAAGCAUGUUGUGCACUUUACAACCAAGCGAGGAAAAAUGCAUAAUACAUACCAAAACAUACUUAAGAGUUCAGAAAGAGAAAACACCCAAACAUAUUGCAACUUAUUUAAGACAAUUGAAUUAAGCUAAUAUCUCAGAAAAGAUGCAUCCAACAACACAUACAUGGAAUAAAUAAAUAAUAAAAAAAAAAAAUAGAAGCACCAAACAAAUAGCCUAUGUGGUUAGAGAAAUAUGCAAUUCAAAUAAACAUAAGGCUAGAAAACAAAUCACAUCAUUCUAAAAGUGGGACACCGCCAGACUUUUACAAGUCCAGAAAAACCUUCAACUUAUCUUUUCUUACCCAUAUGUGUUUGAUACUCAAUGUACUCAUUUUGGGUGUAGAAACGAUAUGUGAUUUUCCCUUACCAAGCUUUGCAAGAGACUUGUCCUUAACUAACUCCAUUUUAGUCUUUGACUUCCUUUUGUUGGAGUACCUGUUUUUCUUAAACCUAUGACAAUAAGCAUUAGAGUUCCAAGGUCUAGAAAACGCACAAGAAAGAACAUAAGAAUCAACAUGAUUAUAAUUAUAAGGAACACGAGAAUAGCAUUUAACAUGUUGAUUAAAAUCCCAACAAAAGAUAUCCAAAUGACCAUCUCUACCACAAUAAGAACAAUGAAAAACAUUAGAUUUACUCAAAGAGUUCUUAUAAGGAGAUGUGGUAGUAGAAGAUGAAACAUGUAUGUCACCAUUGUAUUUAUGACAUGGUGCCUUAUAGGGACGUACGUACCUAGUUAGGACGUACGUACGUCGUCGUAUGGAUUUCUUGUUUUCGACCCAUAUUUCUUUCUUUCUUAACCCUAGGUUAUAAAUAGGUCGUUGGUGUUAUGUGAAAGGUAAGAGUUCCAACCUAGCCUCCAUAGAACCCUAGUUUGUUUGUUGGCUCUUCCACAAAGAUCAUCUUCUUCCUCAAUUGAUCUUUGUGUACUUCUAUCUUCCAUCCUUCUCCAAUUCAUCUUCCUAUUAUUGUUUAUAUUGAUUUAGCUUCGAGUCUUCUUGUGUGUUCAUCAAAAAGUCGAGUAUCCUUGUGUGUUCGUCAAGGAACUCUGGUGUAAGCUUAUUUCAUAGUUCGGCUUCGAGUCUUCUUGUGUGUUCAUUAAGAAGUCGAGUGUCUUGUGCGUACAUCAAGGUACUCUGGUGAAGUCAAGGUGUUAGAGAUAACCAGGAGUGUCAACUCGCAGUGAUUGCAGGUAGUUGAUAGGUUUGUACAUCUCUUUUCAUCUAGUGGAUUUAUUUGUUGUCGCGAGGACAACCGUGGACGUUUCCCACAUUGGGUUUUACCACGUUAAAAAUAUCGUGUGUUCUUUACUUGUUUAUCGCUUUAUUGUUUGCUUUACUAUUGUUAUAUUGCAUAUAUUGGGUUUUCAAUUGGUAUCAGUCGCAGAGCGCUUGUUAUGGAGCGUAAUGGCUCACGCGUAGAUCUUUUUGGUACAAUUAUGAUGAAUAAAGUUAAUUCUUUUGUGUUUGCAGAUCAAUUUUUUCAUAUUUUUGAUAAUUCUUUUUUGGAGAUAAUCGAUAUUUGCAGGUUUGGGAUGAUUGAUUUUGUUUUCGUAGUCUUAUGGUAUGAUUAAUUGAAUUAUUAUUUUUACAUAUGGCUAUUUGUUAGGGUUUUGGUAUUUAAUCAUUUUGAUUGCAUUUUAGUGGUUUCUGGUGUUUGUAGUUUAUUUGUGUAAGGUUGCAUAUCAUGUUGAAUGUUGGGAAGUAUUUAUUUUAUUUUUUUAUUUUUUUUAAAACAAAAGAGAAAAGUUAUUGAAAAAAAAAAUGUUUUGUGGUUUAUCUUGUUAUGGGUGUUUGGAAUACACAUACGUUGUAUAUAUGGUUAGAUUGGUCUAUUGCUUUCAAUCAUACGUGUAUGCUUAGUGCUCAUGAAUAUAACUAUUUUAUUAAACUUAGCAUACGCUUGUGCUCUCAUAUUUAGAUUUUAGACCAAUGUUUAUCUAGUUGUGUCUCAUGCAUAUAUCCUUGCUUGCUUACACUAUGCACGGCUAGGUUGCACUUUGAGAGUUUGUUUGCAUAUCUUUUUCCAUCUUUUGAACAUGAUGAACUUCUAGAAUAAUCAUUAGUUGGAAAUAUACGUAUCCAUGCCUUCUUAUAUUAUCUUGAAUAUUAGUAUGAAGGCGGUGUGGUAGUGGUCAAUAAUUCACAAAAUCCCCAGCCUUUUGAUCUUCUUGAGAACGAAAUCAUUUGGUAUAUAUACACGUUGGGGCCGUGAAGGUCAUGCAAUGACGGAUGCACUCAAGAUAUGUUAGUUCUUGUGUGCACGUUACCAUGAUGUUGCACUACUUUAAGUUUGUUCUUAAAGGGAAAGUAAUUUGAAAAGAUGUAGGCUACACCCUACCAUAUGUUGCAAAAGAUGAAGGUAAAAAUCCCUUUCACAUGUUAAUUUAUGCACAAUAACAAAAAAAAAAAAAAAAAAAAAAAAAGGUUAUAAGUGCAUUUCCCUGUGUCUGUUUAGGCGUUUGUGAAGUGAAAUCCUUCUAAUGGUGAAUACUAGGUGUUUUGAGUGUUCUUAUGGUUUGUGAGUGAGGUUUGAAAAUGACUCUCUUUGUGUUUUCUUUAGCUUUAAUUCCCACACACCAAGGAUGUUUGUAUGAUGCAUUUCUAGUAGAUGUUUGGUUUCUUAUCUUAAUUUUUGAUUGGUGCGUACUUUGUUUAAUGAAACCAAGUUUAUUCAUCUUUACUAAGUAUCUUGGUUUAAUUGAGCUUGCAUAUACUCUCUUCUACCCUUGUAUGCAUGAAUCUUUGUGUGUUUCAAAUAUCCUUAUUUGGUUUGUUUGUUCUAGGUGCAUCUUUCUCAUAUGCAUUGCAUUUAGGUGGAGCUUUCAUUUAGGGGGAGAAUUCUUUGUAUUGACAUCGUGUUAACAAGUGUUUAUUUUAUGGCUUCCGUUGUAUAUCCUUUUUGUUGUUGUUAACAUGAUUGUUCUCCUUCUCAUCUUCUUCUCUUAUUUGUUAUGGUUUGGUUUUUGUUUUCUCUUUCCUUUGUCACCUUACUUCAUUUGUGACAAAAAGGGGGAGAUUAUGACUCUAAUACUAACAUCUUCUUCUUCUUUGUUAGUUUAUCUUGGGUCAUGUUUCAUGUAUGCUACACUUGUGGGGGAGCACAAGUAUUCAUGUUUGAAAUUCGUGAAGUAUGGGGGAGUAGUUCCUAAAAGCUUCCGUUGAUUCUCUGAUUGGUUCAGAAUUUUUCUUGCUUCCGUUUCGUCUCUGAUGAUCAAACCUUCUUGCUCGAGCUGAAUAUCAAAUGAUGGUGACUGGUACGUAUUGAGUAUGAGUGUUCUUGUAGGCAUGUAUUAUAAAUGCCGUUGGUUUGGGUUUGUAAGCACGUAUUAUAAGUGCUUCUAGAGUCAUAGGUUUUUGUCACAAAAUAAAUGUCAAAGGGGGAGAUUGAAACCGGCAUUCGGUUGUUUGACAUUAUUUUGUGACUUGGUGUGUCCGAGGUUAUCUCGCCUUGAUCUCAUUAUUAGGAAUACCUUGAUGUGUGAGCGUCGUCCCGAGUAUCCUUUCUCUCAUCAUGACUGUCAGGUUGUUGUUUGGUACAGGACGUACGUACCUAGUUAGGACGUACGUACCUUGAGUUGGACAGAACUCUUGUUAAGGUUUGGACGUACAUACCUAGUUAGGACGUACAUACCAUAAGUUGGUCAGCAGACUUUCUUCUUUCAGGGACGUACGUACCUAGUUAGGGCGUACGUACGUCGAGUUGGUCAGCAGACGUUUUCGUUCAGGGACGUACGUACGUCGUCGUAUGGAUUUCUUGUUUUCGGCCCAUAUUUCUUUCCUUCUAACCCUAGGUUAUAAAUAGGUCGUUGGUGUUAUGUGAAAGGUAAGAGUUCCAACCUAGCCUCCAUAGAACUCUAGUUUGUUUGUUGGCUCUUCCACAAAGAUCAUCUUCUUCUUCAAUUGAUCUUUGUGUACUACUAUCUUCUAUCCAUCUCCAAUUCAUCUUCCUAUUAUUGUUUAUAUUGAUUUAGCUUCGAGUCUUCUUGUGUAUUCAUCAAGAAGUCGAGUAUCCUUGUGUGUUCAUCAAGGAACUCUGGUGUAAGCUUAUUUCAUAGUUCGGUUUCGAGUCUUCUUGUGUGUUCAUCAAGAAGUCG